Molecule: microRNA, 23 nt
Filed under: Aedes aegypti (yellow fever mosquito)
Lineage: Eukaryota; Metazoa; Arthropoda; Insecta; Diptera; Culicidae
Description: aae-miR-11916
Source: miRBase by way of RNAcentral
GAUGCCUCGUAAAGCAACUGGAC